UCCCUGGUGGCUCAGAAGGUAAAGCAUCUGCCUGCAAUACAGGAGACCUGGGUUCGAUCCCUGGGUUGGGAA
This 72-nucleotide transfer RNA is filed under the name Bos taurus (domestic cattle). It matches the Rfam family "tRNA". Rfam says of the family: Transfer RNA (tRNA) molecules are approximately 80 nucleotides in length. Their secondary structure includes four short double-helical elements and three loops (D, anti-codon, and T loops). Further hydrogen bonds mediate the characteristic L-shaped molecular structure. tRNAs have two regions of fundamental functional importance: the anti-codon, which is responsible for specific mRNA codon recognition, and the 3' end, to which the tRNAs corresponding amino acid is attached (by aminoacyl-tRNA synthetases). tRNAs cope with the degeneracy of the genetic code in two manners: having more than one tRNA (with a specific anti-codon) for a particular amino acid; and 'wobble' base-pairing, i.e. permitting non-standard base-pairing at the 3rd anti-codon position. RNAcentral also lists the same sequence under 5 other names. Lineage: Eukaryota; Metazoa; Chordata; Mammalia; Artiodactyla; Bovidae. The record is from Rfam by way of RNAcentral.